AGCGAGCGCUGGCGGCAGGCCUAAAACAUGCAAGUCGAACGCCCGUAGCAAUACGGGAGUGGCAGACGGGUGAGUAACACGUGGGAACGUGCCCUUUGGUUCGGAACAACACAGGGAAACUUGUGCUAAUACCGGAUAAGCCCUUACGGGGAAAGAUUUAUCGCCAGAGGAUCGGCCCGCGUCUGAUUAGCUAGUUGGUGAGGUAACGCUCACCAAGGCUACGAUCAGUAGCUGGUCUGAGAGGAUGAUCAGCCACACUGGGACUGAGACACGGCCCAGACUCCUACGGGAGGCAGCAGUUAGGAAUCUUGGACAAUGGGCNCAAGCCUGAUCCAGCCAUGCC
RNAcentral lists this ribosomal RNA (343 nucleotides) under uncultured bacterium. Its description in RNAcentral is "bacterial SSU rRNA". It matches the Rfam family "Bacterial small subunit ribosomal RNA", at positions 29 to 398 of the family's 1533-position model. The record is from RNAcentral.